Small nuclear RNA from Molossus molossus (Pallas's mastiff bat), 162 nucleotides. RefSeq annotates it as U1 spliceosomal RNA. NCBI's taxonomy places the organism in Eukaryota, Metazoa, Chordata, Mammalia, Chiroptera, Molossidae. The transcript has a single exon. The record is from RefSeq and is a predicted model, not a curated record.
AUUUUUCCAGGGCAGGGGAGAUACCAUGAUCAUGAAGGUAGUUUUUCCAGGGCGAGACUUACUCAUUGCUCUUUGUAUGUGCUGAUCCCUACGAUUUCCUCAAACAUGGGAAACUCAACUGCAAAAUAUGUGGUACUGGGGGACUGGGUUCAUAACUUCUCU